Molecule: long non-coding RNA, 2944 nt
Filed under: Homo sapiens (human)
Lineage: Eukaryota; Metazoa; Chordata; Mammalia; Primates; Hominidae
Description: HSALNT0248221
Source: RNAcentral
CUGGAGGUGAAGGACGCGGGCUCCCCACGCUCCCCCGAGUGAUGGUGCAGAGGCGUACUCCCUCUCGGGGUCCCCACUCCACAUUCCGGCGUCCUCGGAACAGCCGGCACAGGCAGGGCGGGCGUCAGCUGUCCGGUCGCACCUCCCUGCAGGGGCAUUCCUUGGCCUGCUGCUGCCUGCCAGGCUGACCCAGGCGCAGGCGCUCAGGUAAAGGCAGUGGCCAGCCCAAGCUGCCGACCCAGCCGCUCCUCCCAGCAGAGGCCAGGUGAGGAGGCGAGGAUGGUGGGGGUCGCCCAGGGAGAAAAAUCUCAUCCGACAAGGAAAGCCUGGUGACCCCCUGUCUGCCUGGGCAGAACUCCCCUCCCAGGAAUGAGCUUUGGACAACGUGGUUCCUCCCGUUGAAUCAGGUUCUGACCGAGUCCGCUGCAGCUGCAGGCGGGGGCGCCCUGCCGAGCAGAUACCCAGCGGAGCUCCGGGGCCCCGUUUCUACUGUAAGCAGCUGGGGGCCAAAUGUGCGCCCGGGCACGUCUCUUGGCCUCUCCCAGACUCGGCACCCUCAUCUGUAAGAACGUGAACGAUGUCCGCCCUGGACAGGACUGCGGUCGCGAGAGGUGCCCGGGCCAGGCAAGGGACACAGCGCGGAUCUGCUGGUUUCCCCCUUGAUUCCAUGCGUGGGCGUGAAGCGUAUUCUUGGGAGUCAGGCACAAAUGUGACUUAGUAAGGAAGGGUGAGCGUUGCUGGGAUGGGUGGGGAAAAAUGUUUUCUGCAUCACGGGGCCAGCUGGAGCGGGGAGUGGCCACCGCAGGAUUCCUGGGUGCAGCUGAGACAGCUGGGGCGGGGCGUGCUGGGCUCACACUGAGUUCAACUCUCCAAAUAGCCCUCGCGCCACUGUCCAGAACAGACGAUAAGAAUUUCACAGGACUUUCGUCUGGAAGUUUGCGGUUGACAAUGCGUUUUUACCUACAUGAUCACAGUAACUUUCCCAGCAAGGCUGUUAGCUAAAGAAGGUGCCCUCCCCGCCCUGGAGCCUGAGAGAGGACGAGCUGCAGCCUUGUCCAAGAGAAAGGCCCGGGGGACCCAGCCAUCCACCUCCCUGCCCACCACCACCCUUCCUUCCAAGGAGCACGCAAGACCAAGCCUAGGACUCGCUACAAAGCUCGGUUCCUAACUAGACCGGCGGGGACUGACUAGGAAUGGAAUCCAGGCAAACACCUGGCCGAUCAUAAUCAGAUGUUACUAAAUAUUCAUAAGGAUUACAAUCAGCACCUAGCACAGUGUCUGGGACAUGGCAAGUGCUCAAUAUUUAUGGAAGAAAAGAGUGAAUAAAUCAAGAAAUCGUCAUUAAACACCAAAAUUGUGUUUAACAGAACCAAACAGCGCCACGCACUUGUGACCCUGACCUGAAGCUUCUGGUCGAGAAGGCCCUUGAACUCCCAGGCCCUCCCUGUAAGCAGGUUGGGCAGUGCAGAGGGCACAGGGCACAGGGCGGAGCCACAGGGAAAGAUGAGCAGGGUGCUACCCACAGGAAGGUGCCCUCCCGAUCCCCCCACAGCCUCUGCCCCCUGUAAACACAGUGGCCUGUCUUCUCUGGGCCUCUUCCCUUUUCUCUGCAUCCUGCCCUCUAUUUUCUUCUCACUAACACAGAAUGGAACAUUUAUUUUGUUUGUUACAUGAUCUUGGUAAAUACUUGUUUGAUUGUAAAUAAAAGGUGAAUGAGUAUAUCCUUCUCUAUCCCAAAAAUCCCACACAAAACAACAACCUUCCAAAUCAAAUAAUCACUUAGAUCAAUAUUUUACUUAAUGUGACCUUUACUUUUAAUAGCCCAGUGGCCCUCAACAAAACAGUUUCAGAACUGUCUCCUACAGCUUCAGGACUAUUGGUGCAGGUAUGUGGUGUGCAUGCCGCCAAACAUGUGACAUGCCUGCCGCGUGCAGGACAGCAACAGGACGAGACUUACACACAGCACACAGCUACCCGACAGCCCCAUACGGUUACAGUUACAUCCCCCAGGUUCCCGUGUGGCAGAGCCCAAGUUAAGCCACAGAGCUGUGAGACGCGCUCAUCCCAGCCACCCCUCUAUUAGCAGGAGGGUUCUGUGCUCUGACAACCGCAAGGGCUAGACACUACGGAGUCACAUUGAAGGGGACGGAGAAUACUGCAAAUGAAACCGUCAAGACAGUCCCUGGAAGAAGGGUGUGAGCAAUACGGCCUGCAGAGCAUAGAGCUGUAUCUGUGUUAUCUUUGGUUACUCUUCAGUGUUCUCCAAUGUUUGUGAAGCUUGUCUAUUACUCCCCUUCCCCCUUUACAAAAUCGCACCACUGUACUCCAUCCUGGGCGACAGAGCGAGACUCUGCCUCUAAAAAAAAAAAAAAAAAAUUGUGGUUAAGGACCGGGCAUGGUGGCUCACGUCUGUAAUCCCAGCACUUUGGGACACCGAGGCGGGCGGAUCACGAGGUCAGGAGUUUGACACCAUGCAUGGUGGCAUGCACCUAUAAUCCCAGCUACUCAGGAGGCUGAGGCAAGAGAAUGGCUUGAACCCAGGAGAUGGAGGUUGUAGUGAGCUGAGAUCGCGCUGCUGCACUCCAGCCUGGGCAACAGAGUGAGACUCUGACUCAAAAAAAAAAAAAAAAAAAAUUCUGGUUAAAAAAACAUAUCAGGCCGGGCGCGGUGGCUCACACCUGUAAUCCCAGCACUUUGGGAGGCCGAGGCGGGUGGAUCACAAGGUCAGGAGUUUGAGACCAGCCUGACCAACAUGGUGAAACCCUGUCUCUACUAAAAAUACAAAAAUUAGUUGGGUAUGGUGGUGCGUGCCUGUAAUCCCAGCUACUCAGGAGGCUGAGGCAGGAGAAUUACUUAAACUCAGGUGGUGGAGGUUGCAGUGAGCUGAGAUGGUGCCAUUGCACUCCAGCCCGGGCGACAGAGCGAGACUCCACCUCAAAAAAAA